This 357-nucleotide ribosomal RNA is filed under the name uncultured bacterium. RNAcentral's name for it is "bacterial SSU rRNA". It matches the Rfam family "Bacterial small subunit ribosomal RNA", at positions 9 to 353 of the family's 1533-position model. The record is from RNAcentral.
GAGUUUUGAUCCUGGCUCAGGAUGAACGCUAGCUACAGGCUUAACACAUGCAAGUCGAGGGGAAACGAUAUUGGAAGCUUGCUUCCGAUAGGCGUCGACCGGCGCACGGGUGAGUAACGCGUAUCCAACCUGCCCACCACUUGGGGAUAACCUUGCGAAAGUAAGACUAAUACCCAAUGAUAUCUCUAGAAGACAUCUGAAAGAGAUUAAAGAUUUAUCGGUGAUGGAUGGGGAUGCGUCUGAUUAGCUUGUUGGCGGGGUAACGGCCCACCAAGGCAACGAUCAGUAGGGGUUCUGAGAGGAACGGUCCCCCACAUUGGAACUGAGACACGGUCCAAACUCAUACGGGAGGCAGAA